UCGCCCGCUGGCCCGACGUGGGAACAGUACCAUUAGUUGUGCUCCGCUCUUCAGAACCUGGCGACGCAGCAGAACGCCGGCGGCAGUCCGGACUGGAUUCUUGACACCAGCGCCUCUUCCCACGUGACUGGACCAAGCCACCCGCAAGAUCAUCAUGAGGUCCAAUACCCAUGGGGACCUCUAUCCAUUCUUCACCAACUCCGGCGUGCAAGCUCUUCUCACGGUGGUCGGCAGCGACUUGUGGCACCGACGCUUGGGGCAUCCUAGUGACAAGACAAUCUCCACUUUAGCUCGUUUUUUUCUUCCCACAUGUAAUAACAGCAUGUCACACACUACCUUAUGUACGGCAUGCCAAUUAGGCAAGCAGCCCCGGCUGCCUUUUUCCCAUUCCAAAUCAUUUACUACAGCACCGUUUCAGCUCAUACAUUGUGAUUUAUGGACCUCCCCUGUUUGUA
Long non-coding RNA from Triticum dicoccoides, 455 nucleotides. RefSeq lists it as uncharacterized. NCBI's taxonomy places the organism in Eukaryota, Viridiplantae, Streptophyta, Magnoliopsida, Poales, Poaceae. The transcript is spliced from 2 exons. The record is from RefSeq and is a predicted model, not a curated record.